Molecule: non-coding RNA, 559 nt
Organism: Labrus bergylta (ballan wrasse)
Lineage: Eukaryota; Metazoa; Chordata; Actinopteri; Labriformes; Labridae
Source: the annotation of a RefSeq genome assembly
GUCAGAGAAGAAGAGAAGCUCCAUCAUGUCAGGUUCAACACCAACCAUGUUGCCUGUAGCUCUGCUGCUGCUGCUGGCUGCUGGAUCCUGUGUGAAGUGUGAACAGUUGACACAGCCAGCCUCUGUGACUGUGCAGCCAGGUCAGAGUCUGACCAUCACCUGUCAGGUCUCUUAUUCUGUUAGCAGCUACUACACAGCCUGGAUCAGACAGCCUGCAGGGAAAGGACUGGAGUGGAUCGGUAGCGAAGCUGGAUCCACCAGAUUCUACAAAGAUUCACUGAAGAACCAAUUCAGUAUCAACUUUGACUCUUCCAGAAAAACAGCGACUCUAAACGGACUGAAUAUGCAGCCUGCAGACACUGCAGUGUAUUACUGUGCCAGAGGUGUUGAUGGUCAGACUCUGGCACAAUCUCAACCAGUGGUUAAAAGGCCUGGAGAAUCCCACAGACUGACCUGUUAUGCCUAUGGGUUUACAAUGAGCAGCUACCGGAUGGCUUGGCUAUGCAACAGGUUGGCUCAGACAGUGCGAAGGGAAACCAAUGAACUGGAUCUGUCAUAG